This 568-nucleotide ribosomal RNA is filed under the name uncultured bacterium. Its description in RNAcentral is "partial 16S ribosomal RNA". It matches the Rfam family "Bacterial small subunit ribosomal RNA", at positions 355 to 938 of the family's 1533-position model. The record is from RNAcentral.
UGGGGAAUAUUGCACAAUGGGCGCAAGCCUGAUGCAGCGACGCCGCGUGAGGGAUGACGGCCUUCGGGUUGUAAACCUCUUUCAGUAGGGACGAAGCGCAAGUGACGGUACCUAUAGAAGAAGGACCGGCCAACUACGUGCCAGCAGCCGCGGUAAUACGUAGGGUCCGAGCGUUGUCCGGAAUUACUGGGCGUAAAGAGCUCGUAGGUGGUUUGUCGCGUUGUUCGUGAAAACUCACAGCUUAACUGUGGGCGUGCGGGCGAUACGGGCAGACUGGAGUACUGCAGGGGAGACUGGAAUUCCUGGUGUAGCGGUGGAAUGCGCAGAUAUCAGGAGGAACACCGGUGGCGAAGGCGGGUCUCUGGGCAGUAACUGACGCUGAGGAGCGAAAGCGUGGGGAGCGAACAGGAUUAGAUACCCUGGUAGUCCACGCCGUAAACGGUGGGUACUAGGUGUGGGUUUCCUUCCUUGGGAUCCGUGCCGUAGCUAACGCAUUAAGUACCCCGCCUGGGGAGUACGGCCGCAAGGCUAAACUUAAAGGAAUUGACGGGGGUCAUAGCUGUUUCCU